Molecule: ribosomal RNA, 253 nt
Filed under: uncultured bacterium
Lineage: Bacteria
Description: partial 16S ribosomal RNA
Rfam family: Bacterial small subunit ribosomal RNA
Source: RNAcentral
GACAGAGGGUGCAAACGUUGCUCGGAAUCACUGGGCGUAAAGGGCGUGUAGGCGGAUAUUUAAGUCAGGGGUGAAAUCCCAGAGCUCAACUCUGGAACUGCCUUUGAUACUGGGUAUCUUGAGUAUGGAAGAGGUAAGUGGAAUUGCGAGUGUAGAGGUGAAAUUCGUAGAUAUUCGCAGGAACACCAGUGGCGAAGGCGGCUUACUGGUCCAUAACUGACGCUGAGGUGCGAAAGCGUGGGGAGCAAACAGG